RNAcentral lists this ribosomal RNA (925 nucleotides) under Corynebacterium sanguinis. RNAcentral describes it as "bacterial SSU rRNA". It matches the Rfam family "Bacterial small subunit ribosomal RNA", at positions 28 to 964 of the family's 1533-position model. Lineage: Bacteria; Bacillati; Actinomycetota; Actinomycetes; Mycobacteriales; Corynebacteriaceae. The record is from RNAcentral.
GAUGAACGCUGGCGGCGUGCUUAACACAUGCAAGUCGAACGGAAAGGCCACAGCUUGCUGUGGUACUCGAGUGGCGAACGGGUGAGUAACACGUGGGUGAUCUGCCCUGUACUUCGGGAUAAGCUUGGGAAACUGGGUCUAAUACCGGAUAGGAAUCACAUGUGGGUGUGUGGUUGGAAAGCUUUUGCGGUAUGGGAUGAGCUCGCGGCCUAUCAGCUUGUUGGUGGGGUAAUGGCCUACCAAGGCGUCGACGGGUAGCCGGCCUGAGAGGGUGUACGGCCACAUUGGGACUGAGAUACGGCCCAGACUCCUACGGGAGGCAGCAGUGGGGAAUAUUGCACAAUGGGCGCAAGCCUGAUGCAGCGACGCCGCGUGGGGGAUGACGGCCUUCGGGUUGUAAACUCCUUUCGUCAGGGACGAAGCGAAAGUGACGGUACCUGGAUAAGAAGCACCGGCUAACUACGUGCCAGCAGCCGCGGUAAUACGUAGGGUGCGAGCGUUGUCCGGAAUUACUGGGCGUAAAGAGCUCGUAGGUGGUUUGUCGCGUCGUUUGUGUAAGUCCACGGCUUAACUGUGGGAUGGCAGGCGAUACGGGCAUAACUUGAGUGCUGUAGGGGAGACUGGAAUUCCUGGUGUAGCGGUGAAAUGCGCAGAUAUCAGGAGGAACACCGAUGGCGAAGGCAGGUCUCUGGGCAGUAACUGACGCUGAGGAGCGAAAGCAUGGGUAGCGAACAGGAUUAGAUACCCUGGUAGUCCAUGCCGUAAACGGUGGGCGCUAGGUGUGAGUCCCUUCCACGGGGUUCGUGCCGUAGCUAACGCAUUAAGCGCCCCGCCUGGGGAGUACGGCCGCAAGGCUAAAACUCAAAGGAAUUGACGGGGGCCCGCACAAGCGGCGGAGCAUGUGGAUUAAUUCGAUGCAACGCGA